GGCGGGGGAGGAGGCCCGGGAACGCGCACGCCCGGCCGCGUCCAGCCGGGGCCAGGAGCCGGCCGUCUUCGGGGGCGCGCACGAUUGGGCCGAGGCGGAAAAGGCCAUAGUAGGGGCGCGCACGCCUGGCCUCGGGGGAGGGGUUAGGGGGCGGGGCCCGAGAUGGGAGCUCGGGCAGGAGCGCGCGCAGGGCUCCGGCCGCCUCAAGAUGGCCGCUAGCAGCCUCUGCCGGGGCCUGCUGCGGGGCUCAGCUCGGCCCGUCCUCCUCCAUAACUCUCUGCCAUGGCAAGGGCGGGAGAAACACGGGGAGACGUGAAGCCAGCCACAGACCCAAAGGCUGCUUAGGUGAGGGUCACAGCAGCUUUGGGGACCGUCAAGAAACGCUAACGUGACGUAAAUGACGUACAUGUCGUCAGGCCGCCCCACGCUUACCCCCCCUUCCCCCCGCCCUUUCUGUGGCGGAGAAUGACGGGAAGAGGCGUCUGGAGAGGGCCGGCGUGUCGUCAUGCGACGCCCAGGACCUACGACGUGCGCAUGCGCAUUUCUCAUCCUCGCGUAGGGGCGGGAGAAGGGUUAGAAACGGCCGUCGCGUGACGUCAUGGGAUAGCUGCCCCACCCAGGGCCAUGAUUGGUUGGGGAAGAUGUGGGCAUACACGCAAAUUCCUGAGUCCGGAGCGGUUCUCCAUCGGAUCCUCAGCUUCUCCAUCCCGGAAAUGGGUUUAGCUGUCAAAGUCCAGACCGCUUCACCGCCGUCUUCUCCUAAUUACCUCCCCACGCCCCGGCGGGUUAGCUUUAGGGGACGGGGCACACUCCCAGCACACAUUUACACCCUAGAGGAGCCCAUGCGGUGUGUUGCCCCCAGACCCACAAUAAAACCCCAUUUUACAGAAGAUCUGAGGCUGAGUCUUCCGAGAACGACCCAGGAUCAACUAUUAUCCCACAUCAUUUAUUUGGUGGCCCAUAAGGACACUGUUUUCGGCUCAGACUUAAUCCAUUUCCUUCUGACCCCCUUUCUUUCCUCUCAUGCCUGCCACCUUCCAAUACCGCGCACUCUUGGGGGAGGGGUGGGGAGGAUUUGGCCUCUAUGGCUGGCAAGUUCUUCACUGGCCUCUACGACUGGUACGAAAAAGUCUGCAGGCCCCAAAUUUCUCCUCUGUAAAACCAAGGGACUUGGACUAGAUGAGCAGCCUCUGAUGACUGACCUUGUAGCUCUGUCAUCAUUGGCUCCAAUUCUACAUACAAUCUUCCACAGCUCUGAAUACAUCUUUGUGUUCCUGGAAAACCUUCUGGUUCCCCAUGGCUUCCUGAACCAAACAACUGCUGAUUACAGUAUCGUGAACUUUCAGCAAGGGCCAGACAGAUUCACAAGUGAAUUCUUUCAAACUUUUAAAGAAUAAUUAAUCCCAAUACUGUACAAGCUAUUUGACAAAGUAAGAAAUGAAGGAGUUUUACCAAAUUCUUUUUAUGACACAAAUAUGGUACUGAUACCUAAGCCAGGAAGACUAAAAACAGAAAAUUAUAGUCCAAUUUCUUUAAUGUACAUAGAUGCAAAAAUCUUAAAUAAAAUACCAGCAAAGAGACUACA
This 1585-nucleotide long non-coding RNA is filed under the name Monodelphis domestica (gray short-tailed opossum). RNAcentral describes it as "lncRNA (ENSMODG00000045412.1)". Lineage: Eukaryota; Metazoa; Chordata; Mammalia; Didelphimorphia; Didelphidae. The record is from RNAcentral.